This 460-nucleotide ribosomal RNA is filed under the name uncultured bacterium. RNAcentral describes it as "partial 16S ribosomal RNA". It matches the Rfam family "Bacterial small subunit ribosomal RNA", at positions 338 to 795 of the family's 1533-position model. The record is from RNAcentral.
CCUACGGGGGGCAGCAGUGAGGAAUAUUGGUCAAUGGACGAGAGUCUGAACCAGCCAAGUAGCGUGAAGGAUGACUGCCCUAUGGGUUGUAAACUUCUUUUAUAAAGGAAUAAAACGAGGCACGUGUGCCUUUUUGCAUGUACUUUAUGAAUAAGGAUCGGUUAACUCCGUGCCAGCAGCCGCGGUAAUACGGAGGAUCCGAGCGUUAUCCGGAUUUAUUGGGUUUAAAGGGAGCGUAGAUGGGUUGUUAAGUCAGUUGUGAAAGUUUGCGGCUCAACCGUAAAAUUGCAAUUGAUACUGGCAGUCGUGAGUACAGUUGAGGUAGGCGGAAUUCGUGGUGUAGCGGUGAAAUGCUUAGAUAUCACGAAGAACCCCGAUUGCGAAGGCAGCUUACUAAACUGUGACUGACAUUGAUGCUCGAAAGUGUGGGUAUCAAACAGGAUUAGAUACCCUGGUAGUC